GCUGCCACACACACAGGUGGAAUGAAAAGUCGUCUGUAAAUCAAGUUUCCAUCCAAAUGGGGCACAAAUUUUAACUGAAUUACUUAAAAAAUCUGCUAAAGAAGUAUCGUGUUUACGUCCACGGUGCUUCUUCUCCAGUCAGUGCCAUUAAAUCAAUCCAGAUGUUGUUCAGCCGUCUGUUAGAGCGUACUGAUGCGUCUUUUCUUUGACGGACUUUUGCGUUCUACACUUGACUUGGACUUUAUUUCUAAGUAUUUUGUUUAAC
Micropterus salmoides (largemouth bass) is the source of this 265-nucleotide long non-coding RNA. RefSeq lists it as uncharacterized. NCBI's taxonomy places the organism in Eukaryota, Metazoa, Chordata, Actinopteri, Centrarchiformes, Centrarchidae. The transcript has 3 exons. The record is from RefSeq and is a predicted model, not a curated record.